AAGAAAAUAUAGGAACUCUGUGUGGGGAUGACUACACCAUGAACCAAAUUAGCUUUAAUUUCGCAAUUGAUUAUAUUUAGAAGGUUUUGUUGGGAGAGUAUUCUCACACCCCCAAUGUCUCAUCCCCUCCCGUGGAGGGCAUUGAACUUAUGCGAUCACUCUGCAACUCUAAUAUGAUCAAGUUUCAGCAGCCUGCUGGGAGACAUUGGUGCCCUAACUGUGCUCCCGAGAUUUUUAGGGACAGGAGAUGAGAAAUAAUUUAUUUUUCUUUAAAAAGAAUAUAUUGUGUGCUUCCGAGUUUGAAGACAAGGGUAAAAACAUCUUCUCUUCUGCUUAGAUCUUUCCAAUUUGGAGAGAGUUUUGUCAAAAUCUAUUCUAACUUCUCUUCCAUCUUUUCUUUUCUCUCCUCAAAGAACUCUGGAGCCCGGAUUUUCUUCAGCAAUCUCCUCUUCUCUCCCAUUGUGGAUUCGGAUUGGCGAACACCAGCUGAUUACAGCUUACAAUAUUAGAGCAUCUCCAACGGUGUUGGCUAUAAUCGUUGGCUAAAUUGGACCUGUAAGACGUUAUGUAAAAUUUGUUGAAACUGUAAGACAUUUCUAUUCAAU
RNAcentral lists this long non-coding RNA (605 nucleotides) under Daucus carota (carrot). RNAcentral describes it as "long non-coding RNA (DCAR_LNC004478)". Lineage: Eukaryota; Viridiplantae; Streptophyta; Magnoliopsida; Apiales; Apiaceae. The record is from RNAcentral.